RNAcentral lists this ribosomal RNA (253 nucleotides) under uncultured bacterium. RNAcentral's name for it is "partial 16S ribosomal RNA". It matches the Rfam family "Bacterial small subunit ribosomal RNA", at positions 524 to 776 of the family's 1533-position model. The record is from RNAcentral.
UACGGAGGGGACUAGCGUUGUUCGGAAUUACUGGGCGUAAAGCGCACGUAGGCGGAUUUGUUAGUCAGGGGUGAAAUCCCGAGGCUCAACCUCGGAACUGCCUUUGAUACUGCAAAUCUCGAGUCCGGAAGAGGUGAGUGGAAUUCCUAGUGUAGAGGUGAAAUUCGUAGAUAUUAGGAAGAACACCCGUGGCGAAGGCGGCUCUCUGGGACGGUACUGACGCUGAGACGCGAAAGCGUGGGGAGCGAACAGG